This 468-nucleotide ribosomal RNA is filed under the name uncultured bacterium. RNAcentral's name for it is "partial 16S ribosomal RNA". It matches the Rfam family "Bacterial small subunit ribosomal RNA", at positions 28 to 507 of the family's 1533-position model. The record is from RNAcentral.
GACGAACGCUGGCGGCGUGCUUAACACAUGCAAGUCGAACGUAAAGGCCCUGCUUUUGUGGGGUGCUCGAGUGGCGAACGGGUGAGUAACACGUGAGUAACCUGCCCAUGACUUUGGGAUAACUUCAGGAAACUGGGGCUAAUACCGGAUAGGAGCUCCUGCUGCAUGGUGGGGGUUGGAAAGUUUCGGCGGUUGGGGAUGGACUCGCGGCUUAUCAGCUUGUUGGUGGGGUAGUGGCUUACCAAGGCUUUGACGGGUAGCCGGCCUGAGAGGGUGACCGGCCACAUUGGGACUGAGAUACGGCCCAGACUCCUACGGGAGGCAGCAGUGGGGAAUAUUGCACAAUGGGCGGAAGCCUGAUGCAGCAACGCCGCGUGCGGGAUGACGGCCUUCGGGUUGUAAACCGCUUUCGCCUGUGACGAAGCGUGAGUGACGGUAAUGGGUAAAGAAGCACCGGCUAACUACGUG